RNAcentral lists this ribosomal RNA (496 nucleotides) under uncultured eukaryote. RNAcentral describes it as "SSU rRNA". It matches the Rfam family "Eukaryotic small subunit ribosomal RNA", at positions 365 to 887 of the family's 1831-position model. The record is from RNAcentral.
GAGAAUUAGGGUUCGAUUCCGGAGAGGGAGCCUGAGAAACGGCUACCACAUCUACGGAAGGCAGCAGGCGCGCAAAUUGCCCAAUCCCGACACGGGGAGGCAGUGACAAGAAAUAACAACUCUUGGAUUUCUAAGAAGUGUAAUGAGGAUAAUUUACAACCCUUACCGAAAGCAAUUGGAGGGCAAGUCUGGUGCCAGCAGCCGCGGUAAUUCCAGCUCCAAUAGCGUAUAUUAAAGUUGUUGCAGUUAAAAAGCUCGUAGUUGAAGUUCUGAUUGUUCGGGCCUCGCGCUUUAUAGCCGAGGAACCGACAGUCAUCCGCUUGCAAAUAUAUGUUCGCCUUUAACCGGGUGGCUAUAUGAGUAAGCAAUUUACCUUGAGAAAAACAGAGUGUUCCAGGCAGGUUGUCCGGAAUGCAUUAGCAUGGAAUAAUAGAAUAUGACUGAAGUCGAUUUAUUGGUUUAAGGCUUUAGUAAUGAUUAAUAGGAACAGUCGGGG